GACGGAACCCGUGCGAACGUUGUUCGGAUUCACUGGGCUUAAAGGGCGCGUAGGCGGGCAAGUAAGGUCUAGGGUGAAAUCUUUCGGCUCAACCGGAAAAGUGCCUUAGAUACUGCUUGUCUAGAGGGAGAUAGGGGUUGCUGGAACUUCCGGUGGAGCGGUGAAAUGCGUUUGAUAUCGGAAGGAACGCCGGUGGCGAAAGCGAGCAACUGGACCUCUUCUGACGCUGAGGCGCGAAAGCUA
This 243-nucleotide ribosomal RNA is filed under the name uncultured bacterium. Its description in RNAcentral is "partial 16S ribosomal RNA". It matches the Rfam family "Bacterial small subunit ribosomal RNA", at positions 524 to 762 of the family's 1533-position model. The record is from RNAcentral.